CGGGGUGUAGCGCAGCUUGGUAGCGUACCCGCUUUGGGAGCGGGCGGUCGCAGGUUCAAAUCCUGUCACCCCGACCA
This 77-nucleotide transfer RNA is filed under the name Nocardia albiluteola. RNAcentral's name for it is "Nocardia sp. NEAU-G5 tRNA-Pro". It matches the Rfam family "tRNA". From Rfam's summary of the family: Transfer RNA (tRNA) molecules are approximately 80 nucleotides in length. RNAcentral also lists the same sequence under 3 other names. Lineage: Bacteria; Bacillati; Actinomycetota; Actinomycetes; Mycobacteriales; Nocardiaceae. The record is from RNAcentral.